CCUACGGGUGGCAGCAGUGAGGAAUAUUGGUCAAUGGACGAGAGUCUGAACCAGCCAAGUAGCGUGAAGGAUGACGGCCCUAUGAGUUGUAAACUGCUUUUAUAUGGGAAUAAAAUGUUCCACGUGUGUGAUUUUGUAUGUACCGUAUGAAUAAGGAUCGGCUAACUCCGUGCCAGCAGCCGCGGUAAUACGGAGGAUCCAAGCGUUAUCCGGAUUUAUUGGGUUUAAAGGGAGCGUAGGCGGUUGGUUAAGUUAGUUGUGAAAUUUCGAGGCUCAACCUCAGAAUUGCCUUUGAAACUGGUCGGCUUGAGAGUAGUAGAGGUGGGCGGAAUUCGUGGUGUAGCGGUGAAAUGCUUAGAUAUCAUGAAGAACACCGAUUGCGAAGGCAGCUUACCGGACUGCAACUGACAUUGAGGCACGAAAGCGUGGGGAGCAAACAGGAUUAGAUACCCCAGUAGUC
This 460-nucleotide ribosomal RNA is filed under the name uncultured bacterium. RNAcentral's name for it is "partial 16S ribosomal RNA". It matches the Rfam family "Bacterial small subunit ribosomal RNA", at positions 338 to 795 of the family's 1533-position model. The record is from RNAcentral.